RNAcentral lists this ribosomal RNA (406 nucleotides) under uncultured bacterium. RNAcentral's name for it is "partial 16S ribosomal RNA". It matches the Rfam family "Bacterial small subunit ribosomal RNA", at positions 29 to 526 of the family's 1533-position model. The record is from RNAcentral.
AUUGAACGCUGGCGGCAGGCCUAACACAUGCAAGUCGAACGAGUGGCGGACGGGUGAGUAAUGUCUGGGAAACUGCCUGAUGGAGGGGGAUAACUACUGGAAACGGUAGCUAAUACCGCAUACCAUCAGAUGUGCCCAGAUGGGAUUAGCUAGGUGGUGGGGUAACGGCUCACCAAGGCGACGAUCCCUAGCUGGUCUGAGAGGAUGACCAGCCACACUGGAACUGAGACACGGUCCAGACUCAUACGGUAGGAAUCAGGGGGAAAUAUUGCACAAGGGGCGCAAGCCGGAUGCAGCCAUGCCGCGGGGAUGAAGAGGGCCUUCGGGUGGUAAAGUACUUUCAGCGGGGAGGCGUUACCCGCAGAGGAAGCACCGGCUAACUCCGUGCCAGCAGCCGCGGUAAUUC